UACAGAGGGUGCGAGCGUUUGUCCGGAAUUAUUGGGCGUAAAGCGCGCGCAGGCGGUCCUUUAAGUCUGAUGUGAAAGCCCACGGCUCAACCGUGGAGGGUCAUUGGAAACUGGGGGACUUUGAGUGCAGGAGAGAAGAGUGGAAUUCCACGUGUAGCGGUGAAAUGCGCAGAUAUCAGGAAGAACACCGAUACGAAGGCAGUGGGCUGGGCCGGUACUGA
This 221-nucleotide ribosomal RNA is filed under the name uncultured bacterium. Its description in RNAcentral is "partial 16S ribosomal RNA". It matches the Rfam family "Bacterial small subunit ribosomal RNA", at positions 524 to 743 of the family's 1533-position model. The record is from RNAcentral.